RNAcentral lists this ribosomal RNA (1343 nucleotides) under uncultured bacterium. Its description in RNAcentral is "16S ribosomal RNA". It matches the Rfam family "Bacterial small subunit ribosomal RNA", at positions 28 to 1378 of the family's 1533-position model. The record is from RNAcentral.
GACGAACGCUUUUGGCGUGCUUAACACAUGCAAGUCGAACGGAAAGGCCCUGCUUUUGUGGGGUGCUCGAGUGGCGAACGGGUGAGUAACACGUGAGUAACCUGCCCUUGACUUUGGGAUAACUUCAGGAAACUGGGGCUAAUACCGGAUAGGAGCUCCUGCUGCAUGGUGGGGGUUGGAAAGUUUCGGCGGUUGGGGAUGGACUCGCGGCUUAUCAGCUUGUUGGUGGGGUAGUGGCUUACCAAGGCUUUGACGGGUAGCCGGCCUGAGAGGGUGACCGGCCACAUUGGGACUGAGAUACGGCCCAGACUCCUACGGGAGGCAGCAGUGGGGAAUAUUGCACAAUGGGCGGAAGCCUGAUGCAGCAACGCCGCGUGCGGGAUGACGGCCUUCGGGUUGUAAACCGCUUUCGCCUGUGACGAAGCGUGAGUGACGGUAAUGGGUAAAGAAGCACCGGCUAACUACGUGCCAGCAGCCGCGGUGAUACGUAGGGUGCGAGCGUUGUCCGGAUUUAUUGGGCGUAAAGGGCUCGUAGGUGGUUGAUCGCGUCGGAAGUGCAAUCUUGGGGCUUAACCCUGAGCGUGCUUUCGAUACGGGUUGACUUGAGGAAGGUAGGGGAGAAUGGAAUUCCUGGUGGAGCGGUGGAAUGCGCAGAUAUCAGGAGGAACACCAGUGGCGAAGGCGGUUCUCUGGGCCUUUCCUGACGCUGAGGAGCGAAAGCGUGGGGAGCGAACAGGCUUAGAUACCCUGGUAGUCCACGCUGUAAACGGUGGGUACUAGGUGUGGGGUCCAUUCCACGGGUUCCGUGCCGUAGCUAACGCUUUAAGUACCCCGCCUGGGGAGUACGGCCGCAAGGCUAAAACUCAAAGGAAUUGACGGGGCCCCGCACAAGCGGCGGAGCAUGCGGAUUAAUUCGAUGCAACGCGUAGAACCUUACCUGGGUUUGACAUGGAUCGGGAGUGCUCAGAGAUGGGUGUGCCUCUUUUGGGGUCGGUUCACAGGUGGUGCAUGGCUGUCGUCAGCUCGUGUCGUGAGAUGUUGGGUUAAGUCCCGCAACGAGCGCAACCCUUGUUCACUGUUGCCAGCACGUUAUGGUGGGGACUCAGUGGAGACCGCCGGGGUCAACUCGGAGGAAGGUGGGGAUGACGUCAAGUCAUCAUGCCCCUUAUGUCCAGGGCUUCACGCAUGCUACAAUGGCUGGUACAGAGAGUGGCGAGCCUGUGAGGGUGAGCGAAUCUCGGAAAGCCGGUCUCAGUUCGGAUUGGGGUCUGCAACUCGACCUCAUGAAGUCGGAGUCGCUAGUAAUCGCAGAUCAGCAACGCUGCGGUGAAUACGUUCCCGGG